This is a non-coding RNA of Callithrix jacchus (white-tufted-ear marmoset), 5308 nucleotides long. The record is from RefSeq and is a predicted model, not a curated record. Lineage: Eukaryota; Metazoa; Chordata; Mammalia; Primates; Cebidae.
CUUAUAUAGGCCUGUCUGUUAUGACAUCACAAAGGCUUUUCAUGAGCUCAGAGCAAAGCAGGGCCAAUCAUGGCUGGGGAUCUUUCACAGAGGUUUUCUCUCUUUUGGUCCCCAAAACAUCUUCCUCUUUUAAAAAGGUUUUUCCUUCCUCAUGUGGUUGAGAUUAUGUAAUGGACAGAGAAUAAACAGACAUACCCUACCCUCCAUGAGCCCAUAGCCUCUUCAAGAAGGCCCCCCCAGACAUGAAGCUCCUUCAGCGUGAGAAGCACCAGGUGAAGUGGGGGCCAAAGAGUGGCCUGGGCCUCAGGUCAGCACUGGUGAGGGAAGAAGUGGGGCUUUCUGGAGGCCAGUGGGCUGAGCCCUGCGGUGUGAGGAGGGGUCGCCUAAGUGAGUAGAGACAAGGGCAGGAGGGUAGCCUCUGCAAAGGCCCAGGAUGACUGAGGGUUGCUCUCUGGAGGGAUGCGCUAGUCUGAACGAGUGACAGGGGCCAGGUUGGGAGCACUCAAGUCCCAGGACAGAGGCUGAGCCUGUAUUCCAGCACUGGGGUUGUGGAAUAGUUCUGAGCCCCUCGCAGGGCCACAGCCCUCACAGCCUGACUCUGCCCCAGGUGGAGGUGCUGCUAUAAAUAGUAGGGGCCCCGUAGGUGCACUGGAGGGUGGAAGGGAAGGGCUCCCCAGGAAUAACCCUGCAUGGAUGACAGCCACCCCACAGAGGGCAUGGCCACCAGGAAAUGUAGGUCCUUCUACAUUUAGGUGGAGGCAGCAGGCAUAGGCUGGAAGGAGAAAGUGGGGCUGGAUUCCCAGGGUUCCUAAAUGCCAGGAUGAGGUGCUUUUAUUGCCUCCUGGGGAGCAAGAUUUGGAAGAGACUGAGGCCCAUGAGGGCAGCACUCAGGAGGUUGGUCUGGAGGGAGAUGGCCCCUGAAGGGGCACACCUGUGCCUGUCCCUGUUGGCUCAGCCCUCACUGGCACUAGGAAUCCCUUGGUCAGCAAUGGGGGGGUGUCAUAGCCUUCUGCCUGGAGCCUGAACACCCUGACAUGUUCUCCCCAGGAUUCUGCACUUAUUUUCCUUUUUUUUUUUUUCCCCCAAGACAGAGUCUCACUCUGUCACCCAGGCCAGAGUACAAUGGCAUGAUCUCAGCUCACUGCAACCUCCGCUGCCUUGGUUCAAGUGAUUCUCCUGCCUCAGCUUCCUGAGAAUCUGGGAUUACAGGCAUGCACCACCACACCCAGCUAAUUUUUUGUAUUUUUAGUGGAGAUGUGUUUUGCCAUGUUGGCCAGGCUGGUCAUGAACCCCUGGGCUCAAGUGAUCCUCCCACCUUGGCUUCCCAAAGUGCUGGGAUUCCAGGUGAGAGCCACCACACUUGGCCUGCUCCUGCUCUUCCAUAUGUGCAUUGGAGUUGCCUCUCCCUGAGGGCAGCUGCUGCACCCUGAACGCCUGGCACAACUGUGGACCCGAGGAGGUGCUCAAACACGCGACUCCCUGGGGACCUCGGAUCUGGGUGGCUCCCUUGUGUGACACGAGGCAGGAAGCAGAGCUCUGUGGGUCAUGUGCCGCCCUAGGGCAUGAAGGCUGUCCUUGUUCUCUUGCGAGCCAGGCUUGGCCACUCUUCCAGGGGACCCACCCACACUGCCUAGCCUGGCCGAGAGUGGCCUUCCUGUCCCUGCCUGGAGUGGUGUCUGCCACAUGCUCUGAAGCUGGCCCUUUGCUGUGAGGUCUUGAAGGGCAGGGUGUGUGUGAGAGUCACCCACCACUGGGGCCUGGUAGGGUGGGGAGGCACCUAAGUGGGACUGCUGCCAAUGCAUCCUGGGUCUGGAGUGCAGGAGUCGGUAACUGACUCCACCUUGGGGGCCUGAUGGGAGGCCUCAAAUAGGCCUUGGCCAUUCCACGGGGCUCAGGAGCACCAGGGGCUUAUCAGGCUUGUGGCUGGGAGCAAGGCCAGGCCCUGGGGCUUCUGGGCCUGUUCUUUUUGAAGGGCGGCCUGGAGGAUGACCUGGUAUUGGUCCGUGGGUGUCCUGUGGCCUCCUGCAUCUCAUGGCCUUGCCCUUGCCCUUCAGCAUGACCCUCCAGUGCCUUCAUCGGUCUCCACAGAGCUCAUCCUGGUAGAGGAUGUGAGGGUGAGCCUGGAAGAGGUGACCAUCUAGGACCGUCUUGGCUUCCAGAUACAGCCCAUGCCCUGCCAGCUGCCUGGGUAAGACCCACCAGGGGACCCCCUCACUCUCCAAGACACAGCCCAACUCUCCCUGAAUCUGCCUCCUGCCAGUGGAGCUCCACUUCAGGAAAGACUCAGGUGACUUCGUCCUCAAUACCAGUGCUGUGGACGACAUCAAGAUGGCCUACCAGGAAACCAGGGCCAUCACCAUGGGUGUCACUCUGUAACCCAGGCUGGAGUGCAGUGCUGCCAUCUCAGCUCACUGCAACCUCUGCCUCCCAGGCUGAAGUCAUCCUCCCACCUUGGCCUCUUGAGUAGCUGGGAUUACAGAUGGGUGCCACCACAGCCAGCUAAUUUCUGUAUUUUACCUAGCUAUGGUGGCAACAUGACGGGGUUUUGCCAUGUUGCCAGGAUAGUCUAAACCUCCUGAGCUCAGCAAUCCACCAGCCUCGACCUCCCAAAGUUCUGGGAUUACAGGUCUGAGCCACUACUGUGCCCGGCUGGAUCAGGCACUUUCUAGACCUUACUAAAAUCUGUGUCUUGGAUUUUGCUUUCCUCUACUGCUAGGUGAGGUCCAUACAGCUACCCAUGAUUGACUCUGAAAGUUGUUGAUACAUGGCAGUGCAUUGAGAAAGUUCACACCUCACAGUGAAUUUAUGAAGUGUGAGCAUAAAUUAAAUAACUGGUUUCACUGGCCCUCCAUUUAUCUUUCUUUCUAAAAUUCUUAAUAAAGUAUGGUUAUUCUGUAUGCCAAUGCAUACAGAUUUUAACAUUUGGAUAUAUGUUGCUUUGAAAACUAGGAUAUGUUUUCUAAGACUCUUUCAUUGAAUUUAACUCCUAACAUUCAGCGUAAAUAUGAGUUAUGAAUCCCAGUAUGUACCUGAGCCUUGCUCUCCCUCCCUGAGCCCCGCACGCUGCCCUGGGCCCUUUCUUGGCAAGUGGACAGAUAAAUGGGAGCCGCUGGGGGUGGGAGUGCUGGACUGGGAAUCAGAUUUGAAGUAUAGUCUAAAUGCCCCACGGGCCCACCGCUUCUCAAUAGCUCAAAGCUGCCCCAGCUGGUUUCCACAACAACCUCAAAUCAGAUAAUGAUCCUUAGUUGGCCAGAACCUAUUAGUAAAGGUCAAAGGGGGUGGGGGGUGAGGCCAAAAGUAAUGGUGAUGUCAUAGUCACAGGCUGAAGAGUAAGCCAGAAUUUUCCACUUCAGGUGAUGGUAUUGGUGGUGCCACUUCCAGAGGGGGCACAGCUGCUUGGCAGAGGGACGGACUCACAGGGGCUCUUAGGGAGCUCAAGUGGGGCCCACAGAUACCUUCUCCCUGGGGUUGCAAACUGGCAUUGGGUGGAGGGAGAGUCAGUAUUCACACCUGGGGGAGCCUCGCCCCCAAAGUGGAUUUUAAGGCCAGCAGCACACUGGGGAGACAAGGGCCCCACAACACUACCAUCCUUUCCCCAGCCUGCUUCGUGCUUCCUGGUCCUGCUCUUUAUUGGGGAUGGAGAAUCUUAUCUGAAUGGUGGAACUCCAGUACCAUCCCUGGCCAGCAUCAGUAGUGGGCAGGGUCACUGCAUGUUCAAGGCUGUGCACACUGAGCCCCAGCCAUGCACGAGGGCGGUGCCUCCUGGACCUUCCUCAGGCUCCCUAGGGACCCAUGAGGAAGCUCCCUGAUGGGUGCUGAUGGUUGUCUGUACCAACAGAUUCACUGCCUGGCACAGAAACACCGGGUUCCUGGGAAGCUGGAACCUGCCUUAUGAAAGUCCCCAUUCCCAUCACCCCCUCCAUCCCUUGGGGCUGCUGGGUCUUGCCAUCAACCCUCUCCUCACACCCAGGACACCUGCCUAUUUCAAAGCACCCCUUCAACCUGGGCCUGGCUGAAGGCUCAUUCCUCUGUCAUGCCUCUGAGGGGUACUGCUUUGUGCUGCUGUUAUCAAAAAGGGGAAACCAUUCACAGCAGAAAGACCAAUGCCACACUAGACAGCCAGGAACCCAGCAGCACAAGUGGCCCCCCCAGGUGCUUUGGGGACCACACCCCCACCACUGUGACUUCAGCACAGUCUGGUACCCAGGACUUCAGGAUCCUCCUGGGAACCCUUCAGCAUGAUUAACAUGGGCAGAUGGGACCUGAAGGGGCUGUUGGUCCUCCUGAAAAUGCUCACCAGGCAGUGUGAGUGUGGGGAGGCCAUGUGCAAUGUGUGGGACCCUGUCCUGCACCCGCUCAGAGCCUCAGCCCUGCAGAGACACUGGAAAUGAUUUGCUGCAGUAGAGAUGGUGUUUCACCAUGAGGCUGGUCUCGAACUCCUCACCUCGUCAUCCGCCCACAUUGGCCUCCCAAAAUGUUGUGAUUACAGGCAUGAGCCACUAAGCCCGGACACCACUUCCUUUUUCUAUCUAAUAAAAUAUUGGUGGGGAAAAGACCCUCUGGCAUUUGCUGUCUCAUUUGUUCCUUUGUUGUAGUGAUAGGGAAAGCCAUAAAAUAAUAUUUCAAGAAAAAGAUAAGAUAUAGAUGACUUUUUAGAUCUCCUUCUGGCCUCAUGGAUUUACAUGUGUUUUUACAGAAUAGAGGUAAAAUAAUGAUUAUUAGGCUAAAUGGUAAUGUGGAAGUACAGGGAUAAUUCAAAGUUUAAGAAUUCCUUCCCAGCCGGGCAUGGAGGCUCAUGUCUGUAAUCCCAGCACUUUGAGAGGCCAAGGUGGGUGGAUCACGAGGUCAAUAGAUUGAGACCAUCCUGGCCAACAUGGUGAAACCCUGUCCCUACUAAAAAUACAAAAAUUAGCUGGGUGUGGUGGCACACACCUGUAGUCCUAGCUACUCAAGAGGCUGAGGCAGGAAAAUUGCUUGAACCUGGGAGGUGGAGGUUGCAGUGAGCCGAGAUCAGGCCACUGCACUCCAGCCUGGUGACAGAGUGGGACUCCAUCUCAAAAAAAAAAAAGAAUUCCUUCCCCAUGUUUAACUGGUGUGCUUUGCAAGGUCUAGAUGACAUCAAUGAUACAAUUCUUGCAAGCAACAGCAGCAGGGUUCUUGAAGGUCCGUUGUCACCUAAAAAUUGUUUUCUUCCUUUUAUGUUGUUAAAGAGACUAAAGAUUUCCCUGAAUGGAUAAUGGAAUUAAGUUUCUCAAAAUAAUGGUUCAUGGACUGCCUGUCUGUACCAGCAUCAUUUGAGGUGCUUGUU